This 510-nucleotide ribosomal RNA is filed under the name Dolicholatirus lancea. Its description in RNAcentral is "partial 16S ribosomal RNA". It matches the Rfam family "Bacterial large subunit ribosomal RNA", at positions 1817 to 2600 of the family's 2925-position model. Lineage: Eukaryota; Metazoa; Mollusca; Gastropoda; Neogastropoda; Fasciolariidae. The record is from RNAcentral.
GGCUCUUUGUUUAUCGAAGAUAGGGAGUCGUACCUGCCCGGUGAAUUGUUUUAACGGCCGCGGUACUCUGACCGUGCAAAGGUAGCAUAAUCAUUUGCCUUAUAAUUGAAGGCUGGUAUGAAUGGUUUGACAAGAAUAUAACUGUCUCUUUUUAAUUGACUAAAAUUUGAUCUGUGGGUGAAGAAGCCCGCAUACAAUUGAUAGACAAGAAGACCCUGUCGAGCUUUAAAGAAGUUAGUGGAUUAUAGGUUAAUAGGCUUAAAAAACAAACUACUUUAUAUUUUAGUUGGGGCGACUAAGGAACAGACAAAGCUUCCUUUUUUAAAAAAGCGAAUCGGCAAUGAGCCAGAAAGUUCUGAUCAGAAAAAUUAGUUACCGCAGGGAUAACAGCAUAAUUCUCUUCAAGAGCCCAUAUCGAAAAGAGAGUUUGUGACCUCGAUGUUGGACCAGAAUGUCCUAAAGAUGUAGCAGUCUUUAAGGGUUGGUCUGUUCGACCAUUAAAAUUCUACG